GAUGAACGCUGGCGGCGUGCCUAAUACAUGCAAGUCGAGCGAACAGAUGAGGAGCUUGCUCCUCUGACGUUAGCGGCGGACGGGUGAGUAACACGUGGAUAACCUACCUAUAAGACUGGGAUAACUUCGGGAAACCGGAGCUAAUACCGGAUAAUAUAUUGAACCGCAUGGUUCAAUAGUGAAAGACGGUUUUGCUGUCACUUAUAGAUGGAUCCGCGCCGCAUUAGCUAGUUGGUAAGGUAACGGCUUACCAAGGCAACGCUGCGUAGCCGACCUGAGAGGGGGAUCGGCCACACUGGAACUGAGACACGGACCAGACUCCUGCGGGAGGCAGCAGUAGGGAAUCUUCCGCAAUGGGCGAAAGCCUGACGGAGCAACGCCGCGUGAGUGAUGAAGGUCUUCGGAUCGUAAAACUCUGUUAUUAGGGAAGAACAAAUGUGUAAGUAACUAUGCACGUCUUGACGGUACCUAAUCAGAAAGCCACGGCUAACUACGUG
This 497-nucleotide ribosomal RNA is filed under the name uncultured bacterium. RNAcentral's name for it is "partial 16S ribosomal RNA". It matches the Rfam family "Bacterial small subunit ribosomal RNA", at positions 28 to 507 of the family's 1533-position model. The record is from RNAcentral.